UUAACUGAAACCAAAAAGAGGUAUAUUAUUGUUAAUAAUAAAAUUGAAUAAGCAUUCCUGUUAAA
RNAcentral lists this transfer RNA (65 nucleotides) under Hospitalitermes sp. D TB-2017. RNAcentral describes it as "tRNA-Asn". Lineage: Eukaryota; Metazoa; Arthropoda; Insecta; Blattodea; Termitidae. The record is from RNAcentral.